Molecule: ribosomal RNA, 450 nt
Filed under: uncultured bacterium
Lineage: Bacteria
Description: partial 16S ribosomal RNA
Rfam family: Bacterial small subunit ribosomal RNA
Source: RNAcentral
GUGGGGAAUCUUCCGCAAUGGACGAAAGUCUGACGGAGCAACGCCGCGUGAACGAUGACGGCCUUCGGGUUGUAAAGUUCUGUUAUACGGGACGAAUGGUACGACGGUCAAUACCCGUCGUAAGUGACGGUACCGUAAGAGAAAGCCACGGCUAACUACGUGCCAGCAGCCGCGGUAAUACGUAGGUGGCAAGCGUUGUCCGGAAUUAUUGGGCGUAAAGGGCGCGCAGGCGGCGUCGUAAGUCGGUCUUAAAAGUGCGGGGCGUAACCCCGUGAGGGGACCGAAACUGCGAUGCUAGAGUAUCGGAGAGGAAAGCGGAAUUCCUAGUGUAGCGGUGAAAUGCGUAGAUAUUAGGAGGAACACCAGUGGCGAAAGCGGCUUUCUGGACGACAACUGACGCUGAGGCGCGAAAGCCAGGGGAGCAAACGGGAUUAGAAACCCCGGUAGUCC